RNAcentral lists this ribosomal RNA (253 nucleotides) under uncultured bacterium. RNAcentral describes it as "partial 16S ribosomal RNA". It matches the Rfam family "Bacterial small subunit ribosomal RNA", at positions 524 to 776 of the family's 1533-position model. The record is from RNAcentral.
GACAGAGGGUGCAAACGUUGUUCGGAAUUACUGGGCGUAAAGCGCGUGUAGGCGGCUCUGUAAGUCGGAUGUGAAAUCCCACGGCUCAACCAUGGAAGUGCAUUCGAAACUACAGGGCUAGAGUUCUGGAGAGGAAGGUGGAAUGCUUGGUGUAGAGGUGAAAUUCGUAGAUAUCAAGCGGAACACCGGUGGCGAAGGCGGCCUUCUGGACAGUAACUGACGCUGAGACGCGAAAGCGUGGGGAGCAAACAGG